UAGGGAAUAUUAGUAAUGGGCGAAAGCCUGAACUAGCAACGCCGCGUGUGCGAAGAAGGCCUUCGGGUUGUAAAGCACUUUUUGAGAGGAUGAGGAAGGACGGUACUCUCAGAAUAAGUCUCGGCUAACUACGUGCCAGCAGCCGCGGUAACACGUAGGAGGCGAACGUUAUCCGGAUUUACUGGGCGUAAAGCGCGUGCAGGUGGUUUGGUAAGUAGGGCGUGAAAGCUCCUGGCUCAACUGGGAGAGGCCGUUCUAAACUGCCGAACUAGAGGAUGGUAGAGGGAGGUGGAAUUCCCGGUGUAGCGGUGGAAUGCGCAGAUAUCCGGAAGAACACCAGUGGCGAAAGCGGCCUCCUGGACCAUUCCUGACACUCAGACGCGAAAGCUAGGGUAGCAAACGG
This 403-nucleotide ribosomal RNA is filed under the name uncultured bacterium. RNAcentral describes it as "bacterial SSU rRNA". It matches the Rfam family "Bacterial small subunit ribosomal RNA", at positions 355 to 775 of the family's 1533-position model. The record is from RNAcentral.